AAAGUAGAGAAAGUGGAAGAGGAAAGAGUUACCCCAGCGAGAACCGGGAACCGGGCUGCAGACUCUCCGGCCCGGGGGAGGGAUGAGUUUCACUCUGGUUGCCCAGGCUGGAGUGCAAUGGCGCGAUCUCGGCUCACCGCAACCUCUGCCUCCCGGAUUCAAGCGAUUCUCCUGCUUCAGCCUCCCGAGUAGCUGGGAUUACAGUUAAUACAUUUCUAAACAGAUAUGCAGGGGAUAAAAAUGGCAGUCACUUCAUGAGUUGUGAAGAUUAAAUGAGAAAAUGUGUGCACAGUGCAACGUCCAGGCAUUUAGCCAAUGAUGGCCUAUAUGUUGAUGCUGCUAAAGAAGGGAAAACCUGCCAUCCCUUUGGUGAGUCGCCAGAUGAAGCACAGAGGGUGGGAGGCUGGGUGGGACGGAUCCUACCUCGAUCACUGAAGUCGUCGACCAGUACAAUCUCGGCGACCAGCUCUGGAGGCGAGCGAUUGAGCACACUGUGGACGGGGAUGAUGAUGCUUGUGUUGGGAAGUGUCUCCAGGUAGCGCUUGCUGUUGC
Molecule: long non-coding RNA, 552 nt
Filed under: Homo sapiens (human)
Lineage: Eukaryota; Metazoa; Chordata; Mammalia; Primates; Hominidae
Description: HSALNT0330369
Source: RNAcentral